UACGUAGGGGGCGAGCGUUGUCCGGAGUUACUGGGCGUAAAGGGCGCGUAGGCGGAUGCUUAAGUUGUCAGUGAAAGCCCCCGGCUCAACCGGGGAGAGUCUGGCAAGACUGGGCGUCUGGAGGACAGUAGAGGAGAGUGGAAUUGCUGGUGGAGCGGUGGAAUGCGUAGAGAUCAGCAGGAACACCCGUGGCGAAGGCGGCUCUCUGGACUUGUCCUGACGCUGAGGCGCGAAAGCUGGGGGAGCGAAC
This 250-nucleotide ribosomal RNA is filed under the name uncultured bacterium. RNAcentral's name for it is "partial 16S ribosomal RNA". It matches the Rfam family "Bacterial small subunit ribosomal RNA", at positions 524 to 773 of the family's 1533-position model. The record is from RNAcentral.